UACGUAGGUGGCAAGCGUUGUCCGGAUUUACUGGGCGUAAAGGGAGCGUAGGCGGAUACUUAAGUGGGAUGUGAAAUACCUGGGCUUAACUUGGGUGCUGCAUUCCAAACUGGGUGUCUAGAGUGUUGGAGAGGAAAGUGGAAUUCCUAGUGUAGCGGUGAAAUGCGUAGAGAUUAGGAAGAACACCAGUGGCGAAGGCGACUUUCUGGACAAUAACUGACGCUGAGGCUCGAAAGCGUGGGGAGCAAACAGGAUUAGAUACCCUGGUAGUCCACGCCGUAAACGAUGAGUACUAGGUGUAGGGGGUAUCGAAUCCCCCUGUGCCGCCGUUAACGCAAUAAGUACCCCGCCUGGGGAGUACGGUCGCAAGAUUAAA
RNAcentral lists this ribosomal RNA (376 nucleotides) under uncultured bacterium. Its description in RNAcentral is "bacterial SSU rRNA". It matches the Rfam family "Bacterial small subunit ribosomal RNA", at positions 524 to 898 of the family's 1533-position model. The record is from RNAcentral.